Molecule: ribosomal RNA, 494 nt
Filed under: Hampala macrolepidota (Hampala barb)
Lineage: Eukaryota; Metazoa; Chordata; Actinopteri; Cypriniformes; Cyprinidae
Description: partial 16S ribosomal RNA
Rfam family: Bacterial large subunit ribosomal RNA
Source: RNAcentral
CGGCCGCGGUAUUUUGACCGUGCAAAGGUAGCGCAAUCACUUGUCUUUUAAAUAGAGACCUGUAUGAAAGGCUAAACGAGGGCUUAACUGUCUCCCAUUUCAAGUCAGUGAAAUUGAUCUACCCGUGCAGAAGCGGGCAUUAACAUACAAGACGAGAAGACCCUUUGGAGCUUAAGGUAAAAAUUCAACCACGUCAAGCAACUUAAAACAAGUUUUUAAACUUUGUGGCACAUGAAACUAUACCUUCGGUUGGGGCGACCAUGGAGGAAAACAAAGCCUCCAAGUGGAAUGGGACAACCCCCCUAAGCUAAGAGAGACAUCUACAAGCCACAGAACAUCUGACCAUAAAUGAUCCGGCCAACAAGACCGAUCAACGAACUAAGUUACCCUAGGGAUAACAGCGCAAUCCUCUCCCAGAGUCCAUAUCGACGAGAGGGUUUACGACCUCGAUGUUGGAUCAGGACAUCCUAAUGGUGCAACCGCUAUUAAGGGUU